UGGACCUACUGGAGCGAGUCCAGAGAGAAAAAAACCCCAAACUAUAGGGAUUUUAUUUUGUGAUCUUCCAGAUUUUGUCUUAUAUUGUAAUGUUCAUUUUCAAGUGAAGUUUCUACAUCUUACUGCAUUCAUAAAAAUGAAGAGCUUAACAGCUUUUUUUAAUUAGGACUGUGUAUGUGUUCUUGCUGAUAGAAGUAUAAAAAUAGCUUCUGUGUAUGGUGUUAGGAUGAGUGCAUUGCAGAUAUGCAUAAAAGAUUGUUACAGACUCAAAGUUCUUUCUUGAAGUUCAGCUGAUCUGUGUCUUCAGAAUUUGCUAAGCAGAAAUUUGAAUGCAGCUUUCUUGGGAGAGUAAUGGGAAGUAUAUUCCUCUGGUCAAAUGUUGCAUUUUGAUUGUUUCAGUAUGCUGUUUAUCAAGCUCUUUACAGGUGAGAUCUGCAGUUUGGGCUCAGUAGUUCUCGCCCAGGCCCAUGUGCUGACAGCAGGUUUUGCAGCAGGUCACAGGCACAGCUGAGCACUGCCACUGAGCUCUUAGCUGCACCUUGUCUAAGGAGAGGCAGAAAAAUCUGCCUGCCAAAGUCUGUUGACAGACUCCAGCUCCAGCUUGUGAAUUCGGUGCAGACAGGUGGAGUUUUAAGCAGAGCCAGAAGCUAUAGAUCUUUGCCGUGACCUACAUGUCAUCUUUACUUUUUGCUUGGCCAGAUACUGCCACUGCCCUUUCUUUAGCUUACUCUCUGGGAUGAUAACAAGUUUUGCUUUGAAUGCUACAUAAAAGUUUCUAACUGUAUUUAGGGGCCCUAAUUAUGAAGUACUGACCCUUAAAAAAGCACUUCCUAACAUGGUUAUGAGGUCUCUUGUCUUUCUCUGCAGUGUUUCAGUAUAGUCAUUAUUUUUUCCCAGGCUCAUGUAAUUACCAUUUUUCAAGGGAGGUAAGCUAAUACUUUGCCCCAUGUGUUUUGCAGACAGCUUAAAAAGAUGUGCCUUUUACUGUCUUUCUUAUUGAGUAGAGAUUGAGAGCUCCCUCUUCAGCCUGUCUGCGCCUUAAUUCAGCAAGACAGAGGACUUAGAAGCUGGAUAAUAAAGAUAAAUGAGUGAUGGGAGGAGAGACUUGGGGGUUUUUUAGCAACUUGGAGGUCAAGAAAUACUUUAGUCUGGGCUGGGACUACUUUCGCGAAGUUUGGAGACAGGCUCUCUCGUAGUCAAAAUAUGCUUGCUGGCAAGUGUCUGAAUAUGUAUACUACUACUACUACUAAUAAUAAUAAUAGAUUCUGAGAAAUUUUGUGGGACUGGCAACAAGGUAACAGUUGCAACAAUUUUAAGAUAAGCCUAAAAUGUACAUGCCUAAAGUUUACAUGCAUAAAUUUGAGGACAAGGCUAUCCCAGCCAUGUACUAAGUAGUUGAUUAGCUCUUGCUUUGUUUUAGAAUGUGUAGAGUUUGAAGGUGUGCAUGCACGUAUGUGAGAGCUCAGGAGCAGAGCUCUGGGGAGAACAUCCUUGUCGUGGAUACUGCGUGCAUGAUUGACGUAGGGGAAAAGGUCUAGAGGGGAGAAUACUGGCUGCUGAAAGCUUUGCUUACUCGCAAAGUAAGUCAACCUUUACACACAGUAGAACAGAAGAUGCUUAUAUACUAAUGUAUCAGAUACUGUGAACUUCAAUACUGCAUGUUAGCCUUUAUUUUAACACAGUGUAAGGUAAUGCAGUGCUAAUUCAUUUGGGUGCUAUCUCUGUAAGUGGUAUCUUAAAAUACAAAAGUGAAUUUGUGACUAAAGAUGUUGAUUUUUAGACUUACUGUAAAAAAUGCAGGAAAGCUAUCAGCAGUAGAAAACCUGAAAAUUUGUUGGGUUUUAGUUGUGGGUUUUUUAGCCUUUACAAAACAGUCAAACUCCCAAACAACUGUGCUAGAAUAGUCUUCAUGCACAGGGAGAGGGGUAUUGUCCUGUAGUAAUAGUUGUUACAUAUUGGAGCCUUAAAUGCAUUAAUAUUUGCCAGUCGUUACGUACAUACCCUUAUUUCAUUCAGUAUGUUCAGAAAGACAUUCCAGCUUCAUCUCUAAUGUGGGUAAUGAUAUUCUCUUAUCUUCUGGCAUAUUUUUCUUGCUCUCUGACAAUACUUACUUGAUGCAGUCUGUCCUAGUGUCCUGAUGGUAUUCUCUAGGGAGGAAAAAAAAAAAAAAAGACAUUUUGGCAGGUGGAACAGGUGGAUGUAGUUUGCUUUUUUUAUAGCUGGGGCUCUAGAUUAAUAUUUUUUUCCCCUCCUGAUUAUUCUGCAUUUGGCUCUGUUUACUAUAUGCUUACUUCAAAACCAGAUUGUUUAUGUUACUUGUAAUUCACAUAGAAAUUCCUCAGAAGUAUGUUUGUUAAAUAAUCUUUUUUUCAGAUGCUCCAGGUUUAAAAGAAAGUCUUGUCUAAAAGAAGCCAUUUUUUUACAUCUCUUAGGCCAUACAGGUUUAUUUGUGCUUAGAACACAAAAGACCCCAAAUUAUUAGCAAUUCGGGAUUAAGUAAUGUGCAAGAGUUGAUUCACAAUGUAACUACAGUUAACCUACUACAGGAUAGUGAACUGCAGUAUAAUGAAAUUAUUCUUCUCACUGAAGGGAUUUUAUCAGGAAGCAGCAUGGUAAUACUAACCACCAAAACCUGACUUGUUUGUUAAUGUUCCUAAUAUUUUGCUUGUUGCUUAAAAACAAAGGAACAUCAGAUACAUGGAAGUUUGGUGGUUUUUAAGGUAAAAGCAAUUAUUAGAAAAGGGAUCCAAAAAUCACGCAUUACAGUAAAGCAAAAUGGAAGUAGGCAAAAAUAAAUGCUGGGAGUUUGUAAUUUUGCAUUAUGUAAACAAGUGUCAUCUUAAUAAAAGCCACUCAAGUGAAGGCAUUAGGUGAAUGGAGAUGCUUUGUAUCAUAAGAUGCAGAAUAUGCCAAACAGAAAACUCCAUUUGAUCCUUUUUUUGUUAUAUGUGAAUAGGUUGUCUGGUCAGUGGAAAAAUACUUAGUAAAUGUUUUGUUUUGCCAGAGACUACAGUGAGCGCUUAAGUAGGGCAGGAUCAUUGCAGAGGCUGAAAAGUUUCUUUAUAUCCAUCUUCCUGGGUGAGAAUGUUGAGGAAAUAUUUAACAGAGACCUGUUCUAUUCAUGCAGUGAAAUGAAGUUGUUUAGGAGGCUGAGAAGGGGUCAGACAGAAAGUGGUGGCAUAGCAGUUGAUACUUCUGCAAGGAGCUUCCCUUGAAGGGCUAGACAGUGUUCAUUGAAAAGCUACAAGGAAUUUAGAAAUGCAGUGGCUGAGCAAUGGAAUAAAAUAUGCAAAUCUCAUUACGAUGCUGUUCUGGAGAACAAAUAGGGUAACAAAUAUGCUCAUCUUGUUAAACUGCUGUUGGAGUGUAUGGAUGAAAGAGAAUUGAGGAGGUGAUUCUGGAAAAUGUAAGUGUGAUUUGGUUAGUCUGUCCUACCAAUAAAACUGAUUGCAACAGUAAAUUUUAAGGUGGUUAUAAAACAACUGAAUUACUAUGUUUGGUAAACAGUCUACAUAAUAAACUAAAUUCCUUUAAGCCUCUGAGCAAAAUAACAGAUAAGAGAGUGUACGAUUAAAUUAAUUAUCCUUCCUUAGAUUCCUAGAGAAAAUCCCCUCUUAAGGUCAUUAAAAAUAAAUAAAUAAAUAAUUUUGAGCAUAAAUGAAAACUGUGUGAAUGAAAGAAGAAAAUAUGGUAGGAAUAACUGCUCUGAGUUUGUUAAUAGAAAAGCCGAUUGUGAAUACGUGGAGGGAAAAAAAGAGUGUGCUGCUUUGUCUAGUUGUGUAUCAGGUCUCAAAAAGACUGUUAUCAAAAGCUCUUUUCUGUACUCUUAGAACUGUAAGUAUCUUUUCCCUGUGAGCAAUCCUUUCAGAAGGAAAGGAGAAUGAAACAUCAUCACAAGACUUGAGAUUUAACACUUGAGCUGUUUAUUUCUGCUGAAGUGAAACCAGCAGAUUUCUAGGUCUGUGUUUCAACUGGUGCACCUCAUUAACAUCCUGGAGGAGUGAUGUUAAAAAUCCAGUAUCCAUCUCAGUUAAGAGGGUCCACCACUUGCCUUUUCCAAAACCGACAGAAAGUCAAGUCCUUCCUUUAAGCAGUGUAGAUAAGUUCCUGAAUUGACUUGUUUUGUUUCUCAUAAAAGAAAGAAGGAAUAGCUCAGUUGAUAUUUUUUUAUCAUUAUUUAUUAAAGCCUGUUCUCAGCCUUGAAAGAACAGGCAAAGCUUCAAACAACACUUUUGUUUGAUAAUGACUAAGUCCGUACAAGAGAUUCUCAAACAAUUCUAAAGAGCCCAGAUAACUGGGCAACUUCAUAUCAGCUCAGAGUUGGUGUUGUCAUUUUUAUGGUGGUAUAUGGAAAGACUAAUUUGAAAACUCAUAAGGCAUUUCUGAACUUGAAAGCUUUACCAAUUUGGGUUAGCUGGGAAGGCAAAUGAGAGGUGUAGGCUUGAUGGUAAUGCAUAUUAAAAGGGGCUAGCAUGCUUUUUUAUAGUUCUUUUUGCUUGGUGUGGAAAAAAACAGGAGAGUAGAGAGCAAUUCAUUGAGAAAAUGAAGUUAUAGGAUUGGAAGAGAGAUUAGCUGACUCUCAAGGAACUUUGUAAAAAAGAGAAGAGUAUAGGACAGCAAACAGAAGAUGGUCUGGGUUAAACAGUCUGGAAAAGGGUCUGAUUAAUGGCAAGCAUGUACACAGGCAUGGGGACUAAGCUUCAGGCAGAGUGGGAAAAGCAGUGUAGAGGCUACAGUGUGCAGACAUCUUGCUGCGUGAGCUCUGUGUUGAAGCCUGGAGCAGAAGCAAACUUGGGCUGAUCUUCCUGAAGGUGCUGCUCCUUGGCAAUUAAGCCUGCUUUGUGAAGUCAAUUAGUGAAUCACUGGUUUGGGAACUGUGCAGUCCAAAGGCAAAGAGCCUAAAUCUGUGUAAGGGGAAGUACUUUGUGGAGAAAGGAGCUGGAUUAAGUUUGUGUUUUGUUCUUAAAAAAAAACCAACAAAAGCAAUUCUCGUUUUAUUGGGAGGUUUCUUUGUCUGUAAGCAAAGGACUUUUUUGGCUCGAAGGCAAAAUUGUUCAGUUGCUCUAAAGGCACAUUACUUCUGGCAAGUCAGCUUCACCAUAGCAAAAGCUUUAAGAAAAAAAUUUGAAAUAUUGUGAUUUCACAAGCUAAGCCCUGCUUAGAGUAAGACAUUCUGUUUUGUUUCAAAAGACAAAUACAGAAAUCUGCAGAUGGGAAGCAGAAUUAUCUGGAAAUAAAAAAAAAAAAAAAAGGAAAAAUUUAUCGUUUAGGGGGAAGGCAAGUGUAUGAGAAAGUUUGGUGCCAAUUGUUAUAAUGCUUUUCUUGCUUUUCUUACAUAAGUUAUGUAUGUGAUUCUGUUUGUCUUACAGCCUAAGAACAAGGUGAUUAGCAAAUUAAAUAGAAAGGAAAGAUGUAGAAGUCAUUAGCAAAAGGAGAAAAGGAACAUUACUUCUUACAUAACAUAUAAUUAACCUAUGAAAUUCACUGCCAACCUAUACUAUUGAGGUCAAAACCAGAACAGAAUUCAAAAAUUAUUAGAAAUACAUUUGCAUAAUGAGAAAAUCCACAAUUCUAUUGUAGGAUUUUCUGUAGGUUUAAAAAGAAAGAUCCCUGGGAGUAUUGCCAGCAGCUACGUGGUUGUGAAAGGCUGGGGUAGAGAAUUGCGUGAUAAACAGGUUGUAUAAUUAUCUGGCAUUACUUGCAUUUAAGCAUAAUGUAAGCUUGACUUGACUUCUUUAUAUUCCCCUUGGAGAGCUCACCUCCCUCUCUCCUGGGUACAGAAGGAGCUUGGGGAGGUAAGCCUCAGAGAGCCCAACUGAGGCAUCGAGAGUAACCAACUCCUUCCCAGGGCGAUAGGUGUUGACAGACAUUUUUCUGUGGUUUUGUAAUAACUUGCAGUAUGAAAGGAGUUAAUAGUAUCCACUAAUUGUUAAGGCCUGGGUAUUUGUGUUCUGGAUCACGGCUGGGUUGAGUAUGUACUGUGCAUUCCAGUGCUUCAACUGAUUUCUUCUGCAGGCACAUUUUUAAAAUGUUUUGUUCAUUCUUCUUCAUAGAUUGUUUAAUUCUGAUAGAUUUGAGAUAGAGUGUCACAUAAAUCCACAGUUCUUUAUAUUCAUGUUAAUGUGAUUUUUAUUUGGGGAAGAGAGGGUGUUAAGUUUGUUCUUCAGAAUAACUAUAAUCUCUUGAGCAGUAAAAAGCUUGUUAAUUCUCGUGCAGAUAAUCCUCAAUCUCUUAAACAGACUUGACUUCACAACAAAAAUAACUGCUUAAAUGCAGAUGAUUGUAACUUUUGUUUGGGCCAGUAAAGUAUGCCUAAAAUCCAAAGGUACAGCUAACUGCAAAUUGUUUAGGAACUUUUCAUUAUCAUUGAAAAGUCAGUCUUUCAAUUAAAAACAAAAAGGACAAAUAUUUUUUAAAGUGCCGAAGCAAAGAGUUCCUGAAAACUCAGAAAUGAAGUUUGGAAGAGGAAACUAUGGCCAAGAAUGAAAAAUUAAAAACACAAAAGCCAGUAAUGUGUUAUGGCUGCACAGAGCUAUCAGAAUAGUCAAUAGAGGCAAGACAGUUCAGUAAAUAUUUUUGUUCCGUGCUUGGGAAAAAGGCAGAUACAAAGUUCACAUCAUGGGAUGUAUGAUAACAUGCUUUUAGUUUUCACAAUUAUCAAGGAGAAGGUUAUACAGUAGUUAAACUUGGCAUUUUUAAGUCAGAGACCUGAAAAACACAUAACCAUGAGCUCUGAAAGAGCAGGCCAGAGAAUUGCUGUUUGUUGUUCAUACAGAUUAUUUUUUUUAAUAGUUCUUGGAAACCAGAAAAAGUUCCAGAGAACUUGAAAAGCACCAUGUAACUGCUUUCUGAGAAAUAGAUUUAACCCUCUCAGUGACAUUAGGCUUAAACAAAAUAAUAGAAUUAUUGAGGUAACUAAUUUAAUAAAUGUAAAGGAUAGUAAUUAAAGAUAAUGAUUCCUGGUUCUCAGAACAUAAGUUUUAUCAUGUUAACUUUAAUGUUCUUGGUGUGGUUGAGAGUUUGCGUAAUAGAGUUAAAAUUAAUACAGCUGUGCAACACAGUUGGCUUUAAACUUGCAUGGUAUCUUUUUUUAGUCAACUGGGAUGAUGCAAAGUCAAUGCAGUACCUAUAAAGUAUAUAGCAGCUACUUGGUAAGUUUCAUGUAAUUGUAAAUGUUUCAGUAAUAUUGCCUUGGAAUCAGAUUUUGGUCUUUCUUAUGUAGGUUUUGAUAGCGCUGUAGGACUCUGAUGGGGGAGUCUCUAAGGCUGGAGCAGCUGGAGUCCAUCUUCCCAUGGGGAAGGGACAUCCCAGCUGCAGAAUAAACUACUGGGUUGUCCAUGCAGUGAAAAUAGUAAACUCUAGAGAAAUGUGGUAGACUGAUGAAGGAGUCAUCUCAGGCUAAGCCAUUAGUCUCCAUUUGUCAAGAAAUCCCUAGAUAACAUUAUUUGUGUUAAUAUUUGCUAAAAGCACAGACUGCAGCGUGAGUUCUCUAUAAUGAAGAGGACGGGUGACUACUGCAGAGCAAAAUGGGUCGCACCUCUGCUUCUCUUUUAACUGCAUGGUUUGGUACAGCCUGAGGAGAAGUUAUUCUCUAAGACUGAAGGCUGUAAACUGUUUUGAGAAGGCUGUUGGAAUGUAUCCUACAAAGCAGUAAAAUGGAAAAAUAAAGGUAUAUUUCAAUGAAUUUGAUAACUGAUUAUUCAAAGAGCUCCCAUAGUUACAUGAAAUCGAGGCACCUGUUUUAUCUAUAGUUGCUUAUAAGCACAGAUGGCAGUUUGAGUUUGGUCCUCAGGGUAAAACAGUGCAUGAGUUGUUGCCUUUACCCAUGGAGCAGACUGCAGUGGAUAGAGAGCUGCAGGUUUGGCUCAGGACAAUGCUACACAUCACUGUGCACCCCUGUCCUUUCCUUUCUGAGGCUGGCAGCUGCUCCUGCCGCCUUUUCCCACUCUGCAGGAGUAAAGGGUGUUCUCCUGCCUGUGCAGUCUGUGAAAAGCCAAUUCCCUCUGGAAAGUCAAUUUAAAUGAAUGAAGUCUGUUCUCUUCAUUCCUCCAUCAUGGCAUUGUUGGUUACUGGGCAUCCAGUUUCAUUUGGGGACCUAAUUCAAGCUUUUUUUUUUUUGAGCGUUGGCAUCUGUUGCCUCUUUCAGCCAGUAUGAAAUCCUCUCACAAAAAAAAAA
Molecule: long non-coding RNA, 8176 nt
Organism: Strigops habroptila (Kakapo)
Lineage: Eukaryota; Metazoa; Chordata; Aves; Psittaciformes; Psittacidae
Exons: 2
Source: RefSeq, a predicted model, not a curated record